RNAcentral lists this unclassified non-coding RNA (421 nucleotides) under uncultured Russula. RNAcentral's name for it is "sequence contains ITS2". The stretch from base 1 to 154 matches the Rfam family "5.8S ribosomal RNA". Lineage: Eukaryota; Fungi; Basidiomycota; Agaricomycetes; Russulales; Russulaceae. The record is from RNAcentral.
AACUUUUAACAAUGUAUCACGUGGCUCUCACAUCGAUUAAGAACGCAGCGAAAUGCGAUACGUAAUGUGAAUUGCAGAAUUCAGUGAACCAUCGAAUCUUUGAACGCACCUUGCGCCCCUUGGUAUUCCGAGGGGUGCACCCGUUUGAGUGUCGUGAACACCCUCAACCUUCUUGGUUUAUCGACCGGGAAGGAUUGGACUUUGGAGGUUUUUGUUGCUGGCCUCGUUUGAAGCCAGCUCCUCCUAAAUGAAUUAGUGGGGUCCGCCGUGCCGAUCCUCGACGUGAUAAGUACGCUUCUACGUCUUGGGGUUUCGCACCGUUCUCGCUUCCAACUUCGAGUUGUGACUCGACCUUAUAAACCUUGACCUCAAAUCGGGUGAGACUACCCGCUGAACUUAAGCAUAUCAAUAAGCGGAGGCU